RNAcentral lists this ribosomal RNA (253 nucleotides) under uncultured bacterium. RNAcentral's name for it is "partial 16S ribosomal RNA". It matches the Rfam family "Bacterial small subunit ribosomal RNA", at positions 524 to 776 of the family's 1533-position model. The record is from RNAcentral.
UACGAAGGGGGCUAGCGUUGUUCGGAAUUACUGGGCGUAAAGCGCACGUAGGCGGACUAUUAAGUCAGGGGUGAAAUCCCGGGGCUCAACCCCGGAACUGCCUUUGAUACUGGUAGUCUCGAGUCCGGAAGAGGUGAGUGGAAUUCCGAGUGUAGAGGUGAAAUUCGUAGAUAUUCGGAGGAACACCAGUGGCGAAGGCGGCUCACUGGUCCGGUACUGACGCUGAGGUGCGAAAGCAAGGGGAUCAAACAGG